This 1015-nucleotide long non-coding RNA is filed under the name Sinocyclocheilus anshuiensis. RNAcentral's name for it is "lncRNA (ENSSANG00000016781.1)". The record is from RNAcentral. Lineage: Eukaryota; Metazoa; Chordata; Actinopteri; Cypriniformes; Cyprinidae.
AGAACACAAGACACACCUGCUCUUAGAAGAAGGCCAGGGAUUGGUCCCAGCAUAAAAAUGACACCUGGGCAGUGCUCCAAGGUGUACCUGAAAACCUAGAUGUUUUGUAGGAAUAGUUUCUUCGCUUCAGGAGCUUUUGGAGAUUGUGUUUCUUCUCGUGCUUGAGAUUCCAUUACUACUGUCUAUGCAUCUUCAUCAGGUACCUUCAGACUGGUUCGAGAGGUCUGGCCUAACAUGGAAGGAGCAAUCAUACCUUUAACAAGUGGAAGGACCAGGAAGUGAUCUUCCUCAGCUAAAGCGACGCUGCGACACAAUGGCAUCUCUUGUCCAUGUCUCCAUACUGAAUGACGGCAACAGGAAUUCAUGGGGUAUUCUACGAUGGAAUGUGCAAAGAAAAGCCCAAAUGUUUUAUGUGAUUUAAACAAGUAAAUAAUAAAGGGGAGAUAUAAAUAAAACAGACUGAUGGGACAACUUGUAUGACAAAUCUAUGGAAAAUAAAAAAAGAUAAAUUUAUAUGGAAAAUAUAUCUGCAGGCAUGACUCAGUAAAUCAUUUGGUUGUAUUCUGAAUGGGAAGAAGGAAAUAAUGCAUUUUCUAUUAAUUUAGUAAUUUCAGGGGCAUGUUUACCCAGAAAUGAAAAUUCUGUCAUCUUUUACUCGCCUUCAUGUCGUUCCAAACCUGUAUGAGACACGCGAUCACAGAAAGAAGAUAUUUUGAAGAAUAUUGCAGCUGUUUUUGUCCAUAUAAAACAUAAACUGACAAAAGUUGUCUCAAAAAUCCAUUUGGAUGUUGAUGCUUGGUUCUGACAGUGACUCUUUGAACCUCUGCUUGCACUUUAUCCUUUACUAAUAGACCCUUUAAACAGUUUCCUUCAAGAUCUUUCUCCUGAAAAAAUAACCACUUUAAUUCUGUCAUUCUGCUUUCAUCUCUUCUACAGUCACAUGACAUCAGACCAUUUCCUCUGCAGUAAAAUCCUCUGAUUUGUGUCUUACCAGGCAAGUUUAGAUGUUGAUACU